Paramuricea clavata is the source of this 829-nucleotide non-coding RNA. Lineage: Eukaryota; Metazoa; Cnidaria; Anthozoa; Malacalcyonacea; Plexauridae. The record is from the annotation of a GenBank genome assembly.
GAGAAAACCCAGUUUACUUACCGAACACUAGCACAUUCACGGAGAAAUUAGUACAAGAAGCGCACUUGCGCACUCUCCACGGGGGAGUCGGGUUAACAAUGGCACAGAUUCGAAAGAGGUAUUGGAUACCCAAGUUGAGAAGUUUGGCUAAACGACAAGUCAAAACUUGUUGUGGCUGUCGCAGAUUUCAAGCAACUGCUGUGGUCAAACCGCCACCUGGAAUGUUACUAAAAGAACUCUACGAAGGGAAAGAUGGUCUCGUAAGAGCAGUAAAGCUACGUGCGGGGAAAAGGUUCAUGGAACGACCAGUGCAACAUCUUUAUCCAUUAGAGUUAAGUUGUGACAUUGGAAACAGACAGACAACCAAGACGACCACCGAGUUGAAUGCAGAAGCCACCGAGUUCAGGCCGAAAAGAGACGCAGCGUUUGCAGCGAGGCUUCGCAACAAGAUGAUAGUUGAUGAUUGAAACGUUAAAGGAACAUUUAAUCGUAUACAGUUGAGUUGACAUUCAAAGUUAAAGAAACAAUAGUCACAUAGAAUCAGUCUACUGUUAGACAUAUAUCUCCUAAAGAGAUAUAUGGGGGGAGUGUGUCGUAGACUGACGUCACGCGAUAAUAAUAACUUUAGUUAAGAACUGUCAAUCAAACAAAAUAACAAAGCGAAACAGUGAGCGAGACGAGACAUGGCGAGACGCGUAUACUUUUUUAAGAUAAUAGAUUCUACUUGAGAUUUUGUAAAACAUUAUUAUUGAGAAAACGAACAGUGAAGGGACGAGAGACGAGAAGUUUAUACGAACGGUUAAACCAUAAAUAAGUAUUCAUAUUGGCG